Molecule: long non-coding RNA, 1233 nt
Filed under: Canis lupus dingo (dingo)
Lineage: Eukaryota; Metazoa; Chordata; Mammalia; Carnivora; Canidae
Description: lncRNA (ENSCAFG00020002969.1)
Source: RNAcentral
CGAAGCCGCCCGGAGGGGCGCGGACAGUCCAGCCGCAGCCCCAGCCUGGCAGCCCCGGUGCGCGCCCGCCCCCUGCCAGGACGGCUGUGGAGACCCCCGCCGCGCCGACGACCUUGCCGUUGGGACGACCGCCUUCCAAAGUUUUUCGGGAGUGUGUGAGCCUCGGUGAUGCACUACCUGAGCAUCAGUCCCAAACCGGGAGCCUGCACGGGGGGAGAAAUUGACCGUUGGAGCCACCUCUUGAGUGUCCUUCCAGAAGACAACAGAGGCCUCACAGAAGAAGGAAGGAGUCCCGUUGCUGUGCCAGGAGGUACGAGCAGACAAGGAAGGGUCCCGUGCUACCCGAGGGCACAGAGGUUGGUCUUUGGCCUCGCUCUCUGCCACGGGCCCGGGCCUGACACUGUGUCAUCUGAAUGAACAAUCAUACGGGACUCGUGGAAAAGUCAGAGAGCGGAUGGAAGCAUCUACCAUGUACUGUUUCUAAGCUGCUGUGAACACUGAAUGGAUAUGCUCUGCGCUGUGGGUCCACGUUUACAUCCGUGGGCUAAUCUCAAGGACUGAGGAUGGACUGGAUGUGUAGUUUAUGAUUCUAGCAGUAGUUUUUAGGGCUACUUCAUCAACUGUGUCAGAGAGAGUUCUAGAACCAGUAGGUUGGAAUCCUUAGUAGAUCUCAAAGCCUUACUUACAGAUUUCUGGACUGCCUCUUGCUGCUACCAUAACACUUCGACCAAAUUUGUUAGGCUUGCCUGGUGGAAGGCGUAGAGCCAUCAGGGAAGUCCGUGUCAUUCCCAUCCAUCCACACCUCCUCCUUGGCAUCCCCCUUACUAACAGGGAGUCCAGGGACGGCUUGUAUGUCAGAGCUAGCCUCACCUCAUUCUACCCCCUUCUCCAGUGGCUUCUCCUGCACCACCUUGCCCACUUUGCUAAGAGACUUCACCUUAUUAAGGUUUAUAUUAUUUUAACACAAACCGACAGCAUGCCACUGAAGCUUUCACUGUAUUUCUGUUUGAUCCUUUGCUGUUAAAAAGAAACUCAGGGGACCCGGGGUGGCUCAGUGGGUUAAGCAUCUGCCUUCAGCUCAGGUCAUGAUCUCAGGGUCCUGGGCUCGAGCCCCAUGUCACGCUCCCUGCACAGUGGGGAGUCUGCUUCUCCCUCUCCCUCUGCCUGCUGCUCCCUGCUGUGUGUGUGCUCUGUCAAAAUAAAUAAAGAAAAUUAAAAAAAAAAAAAAAAGAA